UACGUAGGGUGCGAGCGUUAAUCGGAAUUACUGGGCGUAAAGCGUGCGCAGGCGGUGCGCCAAGCUCGAUGUGAAAGCCCCGGGCUUAACCUGGGAAUUGCAUUGAGGACUGGCGUGCUCGAGUGCGGCAGAGGGGGGUGGAAUUCCACGUGUAGCAGUGAAAUGCGUAGAGAUGUGGAGGAACACCGAUGGCGAAGGCGGCUCACUGGACCGGUACUGACGCUGAUGCGCGAAAGCGUGGGGAGCAAACGGG
RNAcentral lists this ribosomal RNA (253 nucleotides) under uncultured bacterium. RNAcentral describes it as "partial 16S ribosomal RNA". It matches the Rfam family "Bacterial small subunit ribosomal RNA", at positions 524 to 776 of the family's 1533-position model. The record is from RNAcentral.